GGGUGCGAUCAUACCAGCACUAAUGCACCGGAUCCCAUCAGAACUCCGAAGUUAAGCGUGCUUGGGCGAGAGUAGUACUAGGAUGGGUGACCCCCUGGGAAGUCCUCGUGUUGCACCAA
Molecule: ribosomal RNA, 119 nt
Filed under: Erythranthe guttata (spotted monkey flower)
Lineage: Eukaryota; Viridiplantae; Streptophyta; Magnoliopsida; Lamiales; Phrymaceae
Source: RNAcentral